This 1423-nucleotide ribosomal RNA is filed under the name uncultured prokaryote. RNAcentral describes it as "partial 16S ribosomal RNA". It matches the Rfam family "Bacterial small subunit ribosomal RNA". The record is from RNAcentral.
UGGCGAAAGGGUGAGUAACGCGUGAGCAAUCUACCUUUAAGUUGGGGAUAACUUGGCGAAAGCCGGGCUAAUACCGAAUGUGGUCGCUCCCGAUAGCGGGAGUCGACUAAAGACGGGGAUCCUUCGGGACCUGUCGCUUGAUGAGAAGCUCGCGUCCUAUCAGCUUGUUGGUGAGGUAAUGGCUCACCAAGGCUUACGGGUAGAGCUGGUCUGAGAGGAUGGUCAGCCACACUGGGACUGAGACACUGCCCAGACUCCUACGGGAGGCUACAGUCGAGGAUCAUUCGCAAUGCGCGAAAGCGUGACGAUGCGACGCUGCCUGUAGGAUGACGGCCUUCGGGUUGUAAACUACUGUCAUCCGGGAGCAAUGAUUCCGGCAAUAACAUUGUCGGGAUGUGAUAGUACCCGAAAGAGGAAGCCACGGCUAACUCUGUGCCAGCAGCCGCGGUAAUACAGAGGUGGCGAGCGUUGUUCGGAUUUACUGGGCGUAAAGGGUGCGUAGCGGCUUUGCAUGUCGGAUGUGAAAUCUCACUGCUCAACGGUGAAACGUCAUUCGAAACUGCAAGUCUGGAGUACAGGAGAGGAGAGCGGAAUUCUUGGUGUAGCGGUGAAAUGCGUUGAUAUCAAGAAGAACACCGGCGGCGAAGGCGGCUCUCUGGUCUGUUACUGACACUGAGGUACGAAAGCUGGGGGAGCGAACAGGAUUAGAUACCCUGGUAGUCCCAGCCGUAAACGGUGUGCACUUGGUGUGGGGGGAAUUGACCCCCUCCGUGCCGGAGCUAACGCGUUAAGUGCACCGCCUGGGGAGUACGGCCGCAAGGUUAAAACUCAAAGAAAUUGACGGGGGCCCGCACAAGCGGAGGAGCAUGUGGCUUAAUUCGAUGCAACGCGAAGAACCUUACCAGGGCUUGACAUGUAGCUGCAUGCCACCCGAAAGGGAGGCAGCCUUCCAGGUGCUGCACAGGUGCUGCAUGGCUGUCGUCAGUUCGUGCCGUGAGGUGUUGGGUUAAGUCCCGCAACGAACGCAACCCCUGUGUUUAGUUGCUAGCGUGGGUGUUAAGCCUGCGCGCACUCUAGACAGACCGCCCGUGUAAGCGGGAGGAAGGUGGGGAUGACGUCAAGUCAGUAUGGCCCUUAUGCCCUGGGCUGCACACGUGCUACAAUGGCCGGUACAGUGGGAAGCAAGACCGCGAGGUGGAGCCAAUCCCCAAAACCGGCCUCAGUUCGGAUUGGAGUCUGCAAUUCGACUCCAUGAAGUUGGAUUCGCUAGUAAUGCCGUAUCAGCUACGACGGCGUGAAUACGUUCCCGGGCCUUGUACACACCGCCCGUCACAUCAUGAAAGCUUUGUGCACUCGAAGUCGCUGUACCAACUUUUACGAGAGGAAGGCGCCGAAGCCGAAGGAGUGGGAAGUGAUUGGGAUG